RNAcentral lists this transfer RNA (76 nucleotides) under Olavius algarvensis associated proteobacterium Delta 3. RNAcentral's name for it is "tRNA-Thr-TGT". It matches the Rfam family "tRNA". From Rfam's summary of the family: Transfer RNA (tRNA) molecules are approximately 80 nucleotides in length. Their secondary structure includes four short double-helical elements and three loops (D, anti-codon, and T loops). RNAcentral also lists the same sequence under 14 other names. Lineage: Bacteria; Deltaproteobacteria. The record is from RNAcentral.
GCCAGCGUAGCUCAGUUGGUAGAGCUACUGAUUUGUAAUCAGUGGGUCGGGGGUUCGAGUCCCUUCGCUGGCUCCA